Molecule: long non-coding RNA, 2660 nt
Organism: Hylaeus volcanicus
Lineage: Eukaryota; Metazoa; Arthropoda; Insecta; Hymenoptera; Colletidae
Exons: 3
Source: RefSeq, a predicted model, not a curated record
CACGCGCCGCUAGUCGUACAUAAAAAUUCAUCGACGCGAGAAAAUACGGUGCUCGUUGUUGCUUAAUUGAAACGCACCGGCCGGCGGUCGGCUGGAACUUUUGCACUUCCCUUGUAAACUUUAAUUCAACGGUCUGUCGUUGCUACCUUUCCACGUUUUUCUCGAGCGUAGCGAGCAUAAAUUCGCGUUGUAGGUUUUACGGUGUUACGCACGGGAGCUUGGUAAUUUUUUGCUCGAAGAAGGGAUUGCGAUUGCGCGGCGAUACAGCGGAUAACUUUCGAGUGGAACGUGCGACCAAUGGGAAUUGCCCGUUUACCUUGUCUUUCAAUUAAUGAUAUGUAACGAUUUGAAUUACCGAUUCGACUGCGCCACUAAUCUGAACCGCUUGACUUUUGGACGCAUGCCGAUGAAUCACUGGCAACUGAAAUAGCUGCACUAGCAAUCUGAACUGCUUGACUUUUGAUGAUGAUACUGAAUCUGAAGCACCUGAACCACUCCAGCUGUGAUCUGGAUUAUAGCUUUAGCUACAGUUCUGCGAUCAAAAUAAUACUAUGGGCUGCGGCAUAACGAUCCGAAUUGCACUAUCAGUUAUGGGGGUAUAAUCUAAACAUCUCUACGGAUUAUGGCGACACAAUAUGAAUUGCAUCAUGAUUUCUUACAAAAUCAUCUGCAACACUGUCUAUACGAGUGUAUAAUGGGAAGGGUGAAUUAUAAUUCCUUCACGUUUGAAGAUGACCAGUAAAUUAGUCGAAGAUAUUUACAUUUAAAUGAAAGUCAGUGAAUAGUAAUGACUAAAUUUUUUUUUUAUGUCGGAAUACCUAUUCGUCAUUAAUCAAUUUACAUUAUAUUACAGUGUAAUCUGAAUUAUAUCACAGCCCCUCUCCUAUAAUCUACAUAACACUUUGUGGAUUGGCUCAGCCAUUUGAAUUAGUUUAUGAUCACUUACAAUCCCAUUUGGAUUGCAUUAUGGGCUAUAGAAUUGUAAACAGAUUUCAUAAUGAAUUUCGAGUAAGUGAUCUCCAUUAGAUCGUGGCCUGUAAUCUGGUUCAGGAAUAGUUCACUCUAUACAAUAUUCAAUAAUUUCAAUUACGUCGUAGUCCAGUGCAUCUGGUGAAUGCAUCUCUAGAGAAUGCGAUCUAAGUGUGUCUUAGAUUUUCUUAUAUAAAUAGAUAAAUAUAUAGCAAGUUAAAUUUAUCUUAUUUAAUGCAUGUUCAUAUUCGUAAAAAUUCAUUCAAGUAAAUUAUACAAAUCGUUUGUGUACUAAGAGUAUGUAUAUUAAGAAGUCCACAAUUGAGUAAAAAAAAAUUCAAAGAAAUUAACUCUGAAGGUGAGGUAUUAAUAAAAAUAAAUCUAGAUAGGAUUUGUAAAUUUCUAUGAGAUUUCAAAAAUAAUUACUGCGACGAAUGAUAGAGUGUGUGUAGUUUCUAAUUGUUCACAAAACGAAGUUUCAACCUUCUAGGAAUUUUCCGAAGUUAAUCUGUUACUUCAGCGAAAUUAAAUAUCUCGUAGAUUGGACGAUACCAUGGUGCCAUGAUUUAUCUGUACCGCACCGUUGAGACACCUUUACUCGGUACACUUAAAUUAAUCUUGAAUUUUGACCAGGUAGAGUUGUUCUGAAUAUCGAUAGGUGUAAUUGAUGUUCGAAUCGCGCGCGGUAUGGAUGCGAUCAUCGACAUAAAACAUUCAAUUUCUGGCCGGGAGCCGAGUCGACAUAUUAAUAUUAAAAGUGACGCGGUACGAAUUGAAAAUAUAUAUGGCGUCACGAGGGACGAGCAAUCACGUGCACGGGGUAAAAUUAUGUAUGUUAGGGGGAAUUUACGAUGGUGGCGCGAAUUUACGGUGAACGCCAGUGUCUAGCGUACGGCUUCAAUAUGGCCCCGGGACUGAAAGCAUCGGCAAAAUGGGGGACGUCCCGUAAAAUAUGGGGCACGGUUUGCAGGCUCGCUCGAGCCAGAGCCGGUAUUAAUCAUUCCCAUUAUAUAUAUUACGGGCACGUUAAUAUAACACGGUAUAUAACGUAUUAAGUUAAUUCGCCCAGGCGGUCUCGUCCUUCGCGCCGUACACUCGUCCGGAAUACGAAAUUAACGCACGCCUGAAUUAUUAUAAACUACGGCAUUUCCGGGGCGCAGUUCGCGCCAGUACACCGCGCGAAUAUAAUAUUUAGACGGAUAUAGGAUCCGUGUAGACGUAACGCGCAGUUACGUGGCCACUUCGCUUUGAUUUAUUAUUCAAGCGUUGUGCGCGAGAUUCAAACACACCAGGAGCAGUACUUUGUCGAACGCACAGACACUACACAAAAUUUCCAUAAGUGAUCUUUCUCGUAAAUACGGCAUUAACGCGCUGGAAAAUCCUCCAGGAUAUGGAGCCAACGCGAGAAGCAUGAUUUCCAUAAACAACUCGCGACGAUUAAACCGUUCCUAAGGGCACCCCGAUUUACCUACAGUCGUUUUCGUCGAUGCUUAUUCGAGGUAGAAGAUACAACGUUUGGACACAUUCUGCGCAUUUGGACGCGAUUGGGAAUAAUACUGAUAGCUACAGUCAAUAUUCCCUUUGAAUAAAUUAUUUUAUUUAAUUAUUCAAAUAUUUAAUCAAUAUAUUUAUGUGUUUUUCAUAAGAAACUUGUAAUACCUUCGUGAUAAAAAGUAAUAGUCUUGAACUAG